CACGCUGUAAACGAUGAGUACUAGGUGUAGGAGGUAUCGACCCCUUCUGUGCCGCAGUAAACACAAUAAGUACUCCGCCUGGGAAGUACGAUCGCAAGAUUAAAACUCAAAGGAAUUGACGGGGGCCCGCACAAGCAGCGGAGCAUGUGGUUUAAUUCGAAGCAACGCGAAGAACCUUACCUGGACUUGACAUCCCCUGAAUAGCCUAGAGAUAGGCGAAGCCCUUCGGGGCAGGGAGACAGGUGG
Molecule: ribosomal RNA, 246 nt
Filed under: uncultured bacterium
Lineage: Bacteria
Description: partial 16S ribosomal RNA
Rfam family: Bacterial small subunit ribosomal RNA
Source: RNAcentral